This 253-nucleotide ribosomal RNA is filed under the name uncultured bacterium. RNAcentral describes it as "partial 16S ribosomal RNA". It matches the Rfam family "Bacterial small subunit ribosomal RNA", at positions 524 to 776 of the family's 1533-position model. The record is from RNAcentral.
UACGGGGGGGGCAAGCGUUGUUCGGAAUUACUGGGCGUAAAGGGCUCGUAGGCGGCCAACUAAGUCCGACGUGAAAUCCCCAGGCUUAACCUGGGAACUGCGUCGGAUACUGGAUGGCUUGAAUCCGGGAGAGGGAUGCGGAAUUCCAGGUGUAGCGGUGAAAUGCGUAGAUAUCAGGAGGAACACCGGUGGCGAAGGCGGGUCUCUGGGCCGAUACUGACGCUGAGGAGCGAAAGCGUGGGGAGCGAACAGG